RNAcentral lists this unclassified non-coding RNA (224 nucleotides) under Basidiomycota sp. RNAcentral's name for it is "partial contains small subunit ribosomal RNA, internal transcribed spacer 1, and 5.8S ribosomal RNA". The stretch from base 1 to 47 matches the Rfam family "Eukaryotic small subunit ribosomal RNA", at positions 1785 to 1831 of the family's 1831-position model. The record is from RNAcentral. Lineage: Eukaryota; Fungi; Basidiomycota.
AAAGUCGUAACAAGGUUUCCGUAGGUGAACCUGCGGAAGGAUCAUUAAUAAUAACCUGUGGGCUAAUUCGUUAGCCACACUAACAACACCUUGUGAACUUGUACUAGUGACAAAUAUGUAUGUAUGUAUAUAUUUGUCAUUGGAAACAAACACCUUUGUAUCUUUGUAGACUUAAAAAAAACACUAAUUAUAUACAACCUUUAACAAUGGAUCUCUUGGCUCCU